CAGCCGCCGCGGUAAUACGUAGGGUGCGAGCGUUAAUCGGAAUUACUGGGCGUAAAGCGUGCGCAGGCGGUUUGUUAAGACAGAUGUGAAAUCCCCGGGCUUAACCUGGGAACUGCAUUUGUGACUGGCCAGCUAGAGUAUGGCAGAGGGAGGUGGAAUUCCACGUGUAGCAGUGAAAUGCGUAGAUAUGUGGAGGAACACCGAUGGCGAAGGCAGCCUCCUGGGCCAAUACUGACGCUCAUGCACGAAAGCGUGGGGAGCAAACAGGAUUAGAUACCCGCGUAGUCCCUGUCUCUUAUAA
Molecule: ribosomal RNA, 301 nt
Filed under: uncultured bacterium
Lineage: Bacteria
Description: partial 16S ribosomal RNA
Rfam family: Bacterial small subunit ribosomal RNA
Source: RNAcentral